Molecule: RNA transcript, 2758 nt
Organism: Myotis myotis
Lineage: Eukaryota; Metazoa; Chordata; Mammalia; Chiroptera; Vespertilionidae
Gene: FBXO25
Gene name: F-box protein 25
Exons: 11
Source: RefSeq, a predicted model, not a curated record
AAUCAGGAUUGAGGGCGCGGCUUUCCGCAGCGACUUCCGGCAAUAAACCCGGACGCGCCGCCGCGGUCAGGUGGGCUCCGCGGUGGCCGGCGCUGCAGGUGGGAGCGGGGACACUCGGCGCGCAGAGCGAUGCCGUUUCUGGGCCAGGACUGGCGAUCUCCCGGAUGGAGCUGGGUUAAAACGGAGGACGGCUGGAAGCGCUGUGAGCCCUGGCGGCAGGACCUGGACCGAGAGAGCGCCCAGCGCAGCGUCCCGCACAGCAUAAUCCUAAAUAGUGAAGAUGACGACAUAUUUACUAGUGAGGAGCAUGGAUAUGCCUCCAAGAAAAGGAAAAAGGACCAUUUUAGAAAUGACAGCAAUACUCAAUGUUUUUUUCGUGAAAAAUGGAUCUAUGUCCACAAAGAAAGCACAAGAGAAGCUUCAUUGGCCCUCCCCCCAAAUGUGUCCCAACAAAAGAAAUCGGCGAGAUGCGUGAUGGGUCCGUCUUUGUCGUCCUGCCUGCGGGGUGAGGCUGUCUGUGCUGCCUCAGUGAUGCAUGAUGCGGCACGGCUACUGCACGCUGGGGGAGGCCUUCACCCGCCUGGACUUUUCGAGCGCUGUGCAGGACGUGCGCAGGUUCAGCUACGUGGUCAGAUGCUCGACGACCACCAGAACCCUCGGCUGAUCAAAGACCUGCUCCAAGACCUCAGCUCCACCCUCUGCAUCCUGAUCCGAGGCGUGGGCAAGUCCGUGCUGGUGGGGAACAUCAACAUCUGGGUCUGCCGCUUGGAGACGAUUCUCGCCUGGCAGCAGCAGCUGCAGAACCUGCAGAUGACGCAGGAGAACCACGGCCUCACGCUCAGUGACCUGCCCUUGCACAUGCUGAACAACAUCCUGUACCGGCUCUCCGACGGCUGGGACAUCGUGACGCUGGGCCAGGUGAGCCCCACGCUGCACACGCUCAGCGAGGACCGGCGGCUCUGGAAGAAGCUGUGUCAGUACCACUUCGCCGAGAAGCAGUUCUGCAGGCACCUGAUCCUCUCGGAGAAGGGCCACGUGGAGUGGAAGCUGAUGUACUUUGCGCUGCAGAAGUGCUACCCGACGCGGGAGCAGUACGGGGACACGCUGCUCUUCUGCCGGCACUGCAGCACCCUCUUCUGGAAGAUGUCUCUGAUGGGCCCCCUUCCUGUCUGCUACCCCCCAGAAGUCUGAUGCGUCCCCUUCCUGUCUGCUCUCCCCCAGACGUCUCUGAGGACAGGUUCUCCACGCUCAGGGCUGACUCCACGUGCCUCCUUCACUAAAUUUUAUUUUCUUCGCAAGUGAGCUGUUUCACCUGCAGUGCUUUCCACGCUUUGCCCUGAGUUUGUGUUUCCUGUGAGAUUCACGGGUAAAAAGUGGUGAAACUAAAGGCUGUGUGAGCCCGGCCCUGGGCAUCCUGCGGCCCCUGCCCUGUCCUUGUGGGCCUGGGCUUCCACCUGUGACACCACACGUGUUGGUUCAGUGCACAUCCUGCCCCGGCCUGCGCGAGGCCAAGUCCAGCACAGGGAGCGGCGCAGCCGGAGACGCAGGAGCAGGAGAGAGGCCCCCAUGGCCCCCACGCCGGGCGCAGACCUGGUGACCAGGCGGAGCGGCAGAGGGCGGAUGGUCCCUCCAGUGGCGCCUGCACUUGGUGGCCCAGACGACCCGAAAGGCUGUGAACGACUCCAUGGCACAGUGUCCCCUCCCGUGUAAUGGCGGCUCUGCUCCCGUCUUGCAGGAACACAGAGGGUGGUGUCUGGCAGCCUGGUCACGGGGCGUGGGGGACUGAGACACGCAUCUACAGCUGCGGGUGCCAGGUGUUGGCUGGAGUCUCGGGUGCUGCCUUAGCGAUCCGGCUGUCGCCCGUUUCCUGCCGGUUUCUUUCAGUUGUUGUCACACAGCUCACCAGCCGCCCUUCUAAUCUCUCCCUUUUCCUCCCGCUCCUCCGACCUGUCCUCCAUCUCCAGGACUGCCGCCUCGCUUUGCUGUUCCAGGACUCGGGACACCCCUGCACGGCCACGGACCCCGACAGCUGCUUCACGCCCGUGUCCCCACAGCACUUCAUCGACCUCUUCAAGUUCUGAGGCCCUUCCCCACGGCGUGUCAGCCCCCGAGCCCAGCAUCCGCUGGCCGCUUCCUGCUCCGGCCGAGCUGCUGGCCGCUUCCUGCUCCAGCGGGGACGCCGCGCUGUGUGUGUUCACCUUUGAAGGGUCAGGGAACCCAGUGAAGUCAUUUCCGCCUCCUUCUCUAAGAACUUAUUUUCUUCUGAGCAUUGGAAAAUUCGCAACUUUGCCUCCUAACAAAUACGGUUCCGAAGGGCCCUGGGUUUUGAGCGCCACACGCUGUGCUGAGCUGACACCAAUCAGUGACACGCUGGGUGGUCACUUGCCUCCAGGUUUUGCGUAAGGGCGGGGGGACCAGCAUUCGUGUAAAUACCUUGUGCAGAAUAUUUAUUUUUCUUAAGAUGUAUUUUAACCAUACUGGUUGUGACCAAAUGACCUAGGGGAAUAUUUGUGUGUCCGUCCUGGUGUUUGGCGAUUGAGUUGUGAAUUGUGCAAAGUGUCUGUGACCAGCAGAGGUGUGAGUGGCGUGGCCGCCCUCCAGCCACAGCCCCGGCCGCGCACCGUGCUGCCCUCGGACAGACGCCGGCGUCUAGUGUCCCCGGAGCCCUGGAGGGAGGGAGACAUGACGAGCAGCAGCGGGGCAGCCUGAUGUCUCUGUGUGGAACUGCUUUACAGACAAUAAACCAUGUUUACUGACA